GUGUCAGCCGCCGCGGUAAGACGAACCGAGCGAACGUUAUUCGGAAUCACUGGGCUUAAAGGGCGCGUAGGCGGGUAUUCAAGUCUAUGGUGAAAUCCGGCAGCUUAACUGUCGAAUUGCCGUGGAUACUGGGUAUCUCGAGGAAGGUAGGGGCAUGCGGAACUAACGGUGGAGCGGUGAAAUGCGUUGAUAUCGUUAGGAACUCCGGUGGCGAAGGCGGCAUGCUGGACCUUUUCUGACGCUGAGGCGCGAAAGCCAGGGGAGCAAACGGGAUUAGAAACCCCCGUAGUCC
Molecule: ribosomal RNA, 292 nt
Filed under: uncultured bacterium
Lineage: Bacteria
Description: partial 16S ribosomal RNA
Rfam family: Bacterial small subunit ribosomal RNA
Source: RNAcentral